RNAcentral lists this ribosomal RNA (253 nucleotides) under uncultured bacterium. Its description in RNAcentral is "partial 16S ribosomal RNA". It matches the Rfam family "Bacterial small subunit ribosomal RNA", at positions 524 to 776 of the family's 1533-position model. The record is from RNAcentral.
UACGGGGGGGGCAAGCGUUGUUCGGAAUUACUGGGCGUAAAGGGCUCGUAGGGGGCCAACUAAGUCACACGUGAAAUCCCUCGGCUUAACCGGGGAACUGCGUGUGAUACUGGAUGGCUUGAGUUUGGGAGAGGGAUGCGGAAUUCCAGGUGUAGCGGUGAAAUGCGUAGAUAUCUGGAGGAACACCGGUGGCGAAGGCGGCAUCCUGGACCAAUACUGACGCUGAGGAGCGAAAGCCAGGGGAGCAAACGGG